This 508-nucleotide ribosomal RNA is filed under the name uncultured bacterium. Its description in RNAcentral is "partial 16S ribosomal RNA". It matches the Rfam family "Bacterial small subunit ribosomal RNA", at positions 30 to 523 of the family's 1533-position model. The record is from RNAcentral.
AUUGAACGCUGGCGGCAUGCCUUACACAUGCAAGUCGAACGGCAGCGGGGGAGAAGCUUGCUUUUCCUGCCGGCGAGUGGCGAACGGGUGAGUAAUACAUCGGAACGUGCCCUGUAGUGGGGGAUAACUAGUCGAAAGAUUAGCUAAUACCGCAUACGACCUGAGGGUGAAAGUGGGGGACCGCAAGGCCUCAUGCUAUUGGAGCGGCCGAUGGCUGAUUAGCUAGUUGGUGGGGUAAAGGCCUACCAAGGCGACGAUCAGUAGCUGGUCUGAGAGGACGAUCAGCCACACUGGGACUGAGACACGGCCCAGACUCCUACGGGAGGCAGAAGUGGGGAAUUUUGGACAAUGGGCGAAAGCCUGAUCCAGCAAUGCCGCGUGUGUGAAGAAGGCCUUCGGGUUGUAAAGCACUUUUGUCCGGAAAGAAAUGGCUCUGGUUAAUACCUGGGGUCGAUGACGGUACCGGAAGAAUAAGGACCGGCUAACUACGUGCCAGCCGCCGCAGUAA